This 222-nucleotide long non-coding RNA is filed under the name Elaeis guineensis (African oil palm). RNAcentral's name for it is "long non-coding RNA (EGUI_LNC047588)". Lineage: Eukaryota; Viridiplantae; Streptophyta; Magnoliopsida; Arecales; Arecaceae. The record is from RNAcentral.
UUGUGUGUGGGAGAAUUGAGAAGAAAGGGUUCUUCUCUUGAUCUCUAUCAUAGAUAUUUGAUACGUGGAUUUAGAAAAAAAAGGAGAGAAUUUUUUUAUUCUUCAUCUUCUUCAUGUUCUUCUUAGAUCAGCCAAAGCAUGGUAUCUUCACGAGCUAGCACUUUCGGAAGGAUCGAUCAGCACAUGGCCUUCAUUUGGAUACCUGUAGAGGUCAGAUAUGUG